CAAGGUUUACCACAAUCAUGUUCUUCUAAAACGUAUUCAUAUAAAGCAGUUAUUUUUUUUCUGAAAUCGAAAAUUGAGAAUUGAUUUUGACAUUUUUAAUGGAAGUUUCGUCAAUGAAUAUUUCAUAAAUAUUACAAGACAUUACUGAGAUAUAUGAAAUGGAGAAGAGGAAACAUAAAGAACUUGUUGGUGUUGUACUUUUCUUCUCUUAUCUUGCUUUAUUGCUCAUGGAGUAGCAUUUGGUUUACCAUACUGGUAUCGACAAUCCUUCAGUAGUGUUGAUGUUUAUGGUGGAUUAUGGCAAAUUUGUGACGAAAUAUCAGGAACAGCCACAUGUACGGAAAUGAAACCAUGGGACAGUGAUCUGUCGUGACUGAUGAUUGGAGUUGCUACCACAGUGUGGGCAUUAUACCAGGCGGACACAAUCAAAGAAAACAAGUCUUAUGCUUUUUGGAUCGAGUGUGGUGCUGGUGGAUUGUUCAUUUUAUCUGCAAUCCUGCUUGCACUUCCAAUUUAUGGCCCAGAGUCUUCCGUCACACCAACGACUCAACAAAAUCAUAGUUGGGCAAAAUCUUAAAUUUAAUUUUUUGUUUUAUACUUUUACUCUGUUUCUUGUGGCCGUUAAAACUAUGUUUGUUUUUAUUAGGUUUGAUUUGAUAAGUGAUAAAUACAUUAUUUAUUAUUAAAUCUGUAACUGUA
This is a long non-coding RNA of Mytilus californianus (California mussel), 699 nucleotides long. RefSeq lists it as uncharacterized. NCBI's taxonomy places the organism in Eukaryota, Metazoa, Mollusca, Bivalvia, Mytilida, Mytilidae. The transcript is spliced from 2 exons. The record is from RefSeq and is a predicted model, not a curated record.